AUACAGGUCUUUUUAUAAGUCUUGUGAUUGGAAUGAGUACAAUUUAAACCCCUUAACGAGAACCAAUUGGAGGGCAAGACUGGUGCCAGCAGCCGCGGUAAUUCCAGCUCCAAUAGCGUAUAUUAAAGUUGUUGCAGUUAAAAAGCUCGUAGUUGGAUCUUGGAACGUUGUGAGCAUCGUCCGCCGUGAAGGUGUGUACGGGUUUGCACGUUCUUUCCUACGGGACAUUCGCUUCUGCUAUUCAUUUAGUGGGGGUAUUCUUGGCUUCGGUCGAGUUUCGCUGCGAUGUUUGUGCUUGGUGGACUUGUCUGUUGUUCUCCUUCGGGAAGCAGUAGCGGUUGCCAAGUCGGCAUCGUUGGUUGGAAUGCCCGUUCGUUUACCUUGAAUAAACUAGAGUGUUCAAAGCAGGCGUCGCGCCGUUGAAUACAUUAGCAUGGGAUAAUGGAAUAGGACUGUGGUUCUAUUUCGUUGGUUUCGGGACCUCAGUAAUGAUUAAUAGGGAUAGUUGGGGGCAUUCGUAUUCAAUUGUCAGAGGUGAAAUUCUUGGAUUUAUGGAAGACGAACUUGGGCGAAAGCAUCUGUCAAGGAUGUUUUCAUUAAUCAAGAACGAAAGUUAGGGGAUCGAAGACGAUCAGAUACCGUCGUAGUCUUAACCAUAAACUAUGCCGACCAAGGAUUGGAGGCCGUUACAUGGAUGACUCCUUCAGCACUUUGUGAGAAAUCAUAAGUUUUUGGGCUUUGGGGGGAGUAUGGUCGCAAGGCUGAAACUUAAAGGAAUUGACGGAAGGGCACCACCAGGAGUGGAGCCUGCGGCUCAAUUUGACCCAACACGGGAAAACUUACCAGGUCCAGACAUAGGAAGGAUUGACAGAUUGAGAGCUCUUUCUUGAUUCUAUGGGUGGUGGUGCAUGGCCGUUCUUAGUUGGUGGAGUGAUCUGUCUGGUUAAUUCCGAUAACGAACGAGACCUUAACCUACUAAAUAGUUAUUCCGAUCCGUCUACUAAAAGAGCUAAGCGAAGCGGACUUUACUUCGGUGGGUUUGUGGAUGUGGAUCUCUGGUCGGAUCGGAAGAUAUACUUCUUAGAGGGACUAUUGGUAUCUAGCCAAUGGAAGUUUGAGGCAAUAACAGGUCUGUGAUGCCCUUUAGAUGUUCUGGGCUGCACGCGCGCUACACUGAUGCAUUCAACGAGUACACAACCUUGGCUGAUGAGUCUGGGUAAUCUUGUGAACGUGCAUCGUGCUGGGGAUAGAUGAUUGCAAUUAUUCGUCUUCAACGAGGAAUUCCUAGUAAGCGUGAGUCAUCAGCUCGCGUUGAUUACGUCCCUGCCCUUUGUACACACCGCCCGUCGCUCCUACCGAUUGAAUGGUCCGGUGAAAUUUUCGGAUUGCUACUUAUGCCUGUCGGUUUCGGCUGAUGGGUCAAGUGGUCGAGAAGUUAAUUAAACCUUAUCAUUUAGAGGAAGGAGAAGU
This 1470-nucleotide ribosomal RNA is filed under the name metagenome. RNAcentral's name for it is "SSU rRNA". It matches the Rfam family "Eukaryotic small subunit ribosomal RNA", at positions 483 to 1789 of the family's 1831-position model. The record is from RNAcentral.